Molecule: long non-coding RNA, 1195 nt
Organism: Nilaparvata lugens (brown planthopper)
Lineage: Eukaryota; Metazoa; Arthropoda; Insecta; Hemiptera; Delphacidae
Exons: 2
Source: RefSeq, a predicted model, not a curated record
GUGCGGCAAGGAGCCGCAGUUCAAGUGUCCCUACUGUCCACAUCGUGCCAAGCAGAAGAUCAAUCGUCAGCUUUAAUCAGAGGAAGAUAUGUGUGCUGCAACUGUGGAAGGAGCUAUAAAAUGAAAGGAGCACUCAUAAGGCACCAGAAGUACGAAUGUGGAAUGGAACCUCAAUUCCAGUGCCCCAAAUGUCCUUAUCGCGCCAAACAGAAAACUCAUAUUCAACGUCAUUUAGUUCUAAAACACUUUAUUUAGGUUUCCUAAAUUCUAUUAUCUGCUAUUUCCCGUCUAAUUUCAGGUAGAUUUCCGGGUUAUUCAGCAGUUGUUGUUUCGGAAAAAUUUGUAGAAAUUUUUAUUCUGAAAAUUUUUCCAUCCCACAUAAUUAUUUUAUCUUGUAAACCCGUACUACUGACUCAAUUUGGUAAAGAUGAAUUUUCAUGUAAGUGAACAAGUCAAAUUAUAGAAAUUAUUUCAGGUUAUCGAUCUAUUAUUGUGUUAUUUUAGCAAAUUCUUAAUGUAAAACAUUUUUAUGAUAAAAAUAAUAGGAUUCCACAUUCCGUGAAGAAUAGACAAUAAUUGUCUAUUUUACUCUAGUAAUAAUAUUGAAUAAUAUUUAGUCUAGUAGUGAACCAGAAACUAUAUCACACUUAUGCUGCGUUUACACUAAAUUUAUUAACAAAAUUUUAAUAACUUAAUCCUUAUAGAUUCUAUUAGAUUGAACAUAACUUAUCAUACACAUGAUGAACAUAUGUGUUUGUCAAGUUCCGUUCAAUCUAAUAGAAUCUAUAAGGAUUAAGUUAUUAAUAUUUUGUUAAUAACUUUGGUGUAAUCGCAGCUUAGGUUUGUAAAUUUUAAUGUUCAGUUAUAAUUUUAUCAAUAAAGAGUACUAUCACAGCAUACUAUAGAUAGAGGUGUUACUUAUUACUUAUCUAAAGUAAGCCAUGGUACUAGGCUAUAAUUGUUUUUUUAUACAUCACAUUGGAUUGAUUACAUUACAUUUUCCAACCAAUAACUAAUAUUCGUAAUUUUUCCAAGUUCACAACCUUAUUUUUGGAUAAUAAACCAUUGGGAUAAGGGAGAAUAAAUUCACUUGGAAUUAAUUACGGUAGGUGAAGAAUAUGAUAGUAUUCAGGUAGUAUGAAAAAAAAACUUGAAAAUGCUGAGUUCAGGAAGCUGUAUUUUAAAAUAAAAAUAA